GAUGAACGCUGGCGGCGUGCCUAAUACAUGCAAGUCGAACGAACAGACGAGGAGCUUGCUCUUCUGACGUUAGUGGCGGACGGGUGAGUAACACGUGGGUAACUUACCUAUUAGACUGGGAUAACUUCGGGAAACGAUAGCUAAUACCGCAUAAUAUAUUGUAACACAUGUUUCAUUUGUGAAAGACGCUUUUGCUGUCCUACAUGAUUGGCUCCCCUUCUCAUUGGUAAGAUGGUAAGGAAACGCCUUACCAAGGCACCGUAGCGAAGCCGCCCUAAGAGGGUGAUGGGCCACACGGGACCGAGGACACGGUCCAGACUCCUACGGGAGGCACAAGAGGGGAAUCUUCGGAAAUGGGCGAAAGCCUGACGAGGCAAGGCGGCUGGAGUGAGGAAGUUCUUCGGUUCGUAAAACUCGGUUAUUAGGGAAGAACAAAUGUGUAAGUAACUAUGCACGUCUUGACGGUAGCUAAUCAGAAAGCCACGGCUAACUACGUG
This 497-nucleotide ribosomal RNA is filed under the name uncultured bacterium. RNAcentral's name for it is "partial 16S ribosomal RNA". It matches the Rfam family "Bacterial small subunit ribosomal RNA", at positions 28 to 507 of the family's 1533-position model. The record is from RNAcentral.